Molecule: ribosomal RNA, 224 nt
Filed under: uncultured bacterium
Lineage: Bacteria
Description: partial 16S ribosomal RNA
Rfam family: Bacterial small subunit ribosomal RNA
Source: RNAcentral
UGAGGAACAUGACCUUCGGCGGGGGAUAGCCGGCCCAACGGCCGGGUAAUACCGCGUACGACCACAUGGGGACAUCCCUGAGUGGCGAAAGCAGCAAUGCGCCGAUGGAGUGCCUCGCGGCCUAUCAGCUAGUUGGUGAGGUAAUGGCUCACCAAGGCAACGACGGGUAGCUGGUCUGAGAGGAUGGCCAGCCACAUUGGGACUGAGACACGGCCCAGAUCCUA